Molecule: ribosomal RNA, 433 nt
Filed under: uncultured bacterium
Lineage: Bacteria
Description: partial 16S ribosomal RNA
Rfam family: Bacterial small subunit ribosomal RNA
Source: RNAcentral
AACGAACGCUGGCGGCAUGCCUAACACAUGCCAGUCGAACGAGACCUUCGGGUCUAGUGGCGCACGGGUGCGUAACGCGUGGGAACCUGCCCUUAGGUUCGGAAUAACUCCCCGAAAGGGGUGCUAAUACCGGAUAAUGCCUUCGGACCAAAGAUUUAUCGCCUUUGGAUGGGCCCGCGUUGGAUUAGCUAGUUGGUAGGGUAAAAGCCUACCAAGGCGACGAUCCAUAGCUGGUCUGAGAGGAUGAUCAGCCACACUGGGACUGAGACACGGCCCAGACUCCUACGGGAGGCAGCAGUGGGGAAUAUUGGACAAUGGGCGAAAGCCUGAUCCAGCAAUGCCGCGUGAGUGAUGAAGGCCUUAGGGUUGUAAAGCUCUUUUACCCGGGAUGAUAAUGACAGUACCGGGAGAAUAAGCUCCGGCUAACUCCGUG